GAGCGGCAGCACGGGAAGCUUGCUUCCUGGUGGCGAGCGGCGGACGGGUGAGUAAUGCAUAGGAAUCUGCCCGGUAGUGGGGGAUAACCUGGGGAAACCCAGGCUAAUACCGCAUACGUCCUACGGGAGGCAGCAGGGGCUCUUCGGACCUUGCGCUAUCGGAUGAGCCUAUGUCGGAUUAUCUGGUUGGUGAGGUAAUGGCUCACCAAGGCGACGAUCCGUAGCUGGU
RNAcentral lists this ribosomal RNA (229 nucleotides) under uncultured bacterium. RNAcentral describes it as "partial 16S ribosomal RNA". It matches the Rfam family "Bacterial small subunit ribosomal RNA", at positions 64 to 291 of the family's 1533-position model. The record is from RNAcentral.